AAACAAAGCCUCAAACGAAACAUUUUUAUUCUAUAUUUUCGACUUCUUUUUUCGCGUGGAAUCACCCCCUUUCCGCUUGUACCAUCAGUUACCAACCACCCUGUAUAUAUGUACACGAUCAACGUUAAAAUGGAAAAGUAUUACUACGAAAUAUAAUGGUACGAAUAUAAACGUGUAACAAAAAUGAUAUGAAAUUGGCUACGUAAAUAAUUUGUAUCGUUAAUCGUUCAAAAUUCGAGUUUGUAUCUUUGUAUCUUUUUCUACGUGGACUAUCUGUAUUACUCGACUGAACAUCUAAUAUCUUGCAAAAUAAAAAUAUGAUUGUACAAUAAUAUAAUACAACUAUGAUUAGGUAUUCAAUUUUAGCAUAUCAUCUACAUAAAGAUUACAUAUUGUUACAUCAUUAUAACCAUUCAUAUCCUAUUCAACACUUUUAAAUUUUGCAUUCCAGCAAAGCUACAAACAUCCUACUGCGAUCGAUAACUCAUUUCGUUCGUAGCCGGUGGUAACUUUGUUUAAUCUGAAAACUGGCGACGUUUACAAUUGAAAAGUUUCCUGAGAAAGAGCAAGGCUGCGAUGAAUAUAUACACUCGUUACGUAAUUUUAAUUUACUUUAUAAAUACUCUAAAAAAGGCGAGAUUUUUUAACAGCCAUUAUAAUUAUCCAUCGAAACGUAUCUAAUAUUUCAAAACUAGUGCUAAAAUUUUUAACGCAAUUUACUCGAUUCCCUACAAUUUACGACACGAGUUAUUUUUCCAGAGAGCUCGUCCAUUGGAUAAAUCUCAACCAGAUAACGAUAGAAGACAAUCGUAAUUGUCCGACGCGACGGUGUGUAACGGAAAGCGGGCGAAUCUCGAAAAUGCGAAGAAGUCAGAGAAGGAAGACGAAGAAGAGGCUAGCUUGGGAUAGAGAGAACAGACAUCCACUCGAUCGGAGGCGACUCUAAUUACCAUUGGGGGGCUAUAGCGGCAGCGUAAUAAUGCAAUCUGUACCGAGAGGUGCAGGGUACGAGAAGGAACGAGAGAGGACAGAGGUGGGACGGAGAAAGGUGCAGAGACGGGUAGGGCUCGGUACAAGCCUCGGAUAAUGAGUUUGCGAGAGCAGCAAUGGGCCUAGCAACUUCUGAUUCUCCGCCGGCAUAAGCUUCCAACAGCCUCGAUCAACCGGUCUUCCGCUCCUUUAGUCCGCGUCAAUGCCGAUAAUUAGUCAUAGCGUGGUUUACGAGCCGCGCCGGCUAAUUCGUCGGAGACACCUGCGCGUUCGAUUUUUACUGCUCCAGAUUUUACUUAAAGCCACGUCGCUGUUCUAAGAACAGCGUGGAAAAGAAUUCCAGCUACCAUCCAUGUACAGAGGCGAGAUUACUCGAGUCGAUAGAACGAGGUUACAAAUGAGUACAACAACUUAAUUUAACCUAACCGGAGCGCAUACCGUCAGUAAAGAUUUGAUUGGUUUUAAGCGUUUCCGUAAACUUUGAUAAAUCGUCGUACGUUUAAUUGGCAGUAGUCGAGUUUCGAUGGAUUUCAUCUGCAAAGUGUAUCUUGUUAAAAUAAUUCGAUAUGAUUGAUCGAUAUUUCGUUGCUAACGUUUUCGCUUUGGUUCGAAGAAAAUUCGAGCGCGUAUCCCUUGUGUAUGCAACAAUAGUUUGAAUUAAUAAAGGACUUUAAUAGUAAUUUAAUGAUAGCGAAAUUCUCGUAAAUAAAUUAUCGAAUAUCGUGAGAUUUAACUUCGAUAAUAAAGUUACAAUCCAGGCGACACUGAUAAUGCAUAAAUUCGGCGAUUACUACGUAUUAAAUAAUUCAAGGAUUGAGUAUUACAAAGGAUACUAUAUCAUUCCAUACGAUAUUUGUUUGUAUAAUAUAUAUUGCAGAUUGUAUCUCUUCGGUACAUAUAUGCAUGCAACUAAUUAUACCGAAUAAAAAGUUCGCACGUAAUGCAUUUAUUAAUUAAAGCAAUUAUUAAUUAAUUAAAGAACGACAUAGAUAAAUACGACUAUCAAGGAGCAAUAAAAUAGUGCAAUCUCGAUGCAAGAAAAAAAUGGCAUCGCACGUUUGAUUAUUUUUCAAUCUUAAUAAUUUAAUAUAGAUACAAGAUACUUAUUCAAAUUA
This is a long non-coding RNA of Bombus huntii, 2105 nucleotides long. RefSeq lists it as uncharacterized. The record is from RefSeq and is a predicted model, not a curated record. The transcript has 2 exons. Lineage: Eukaryota; Metazoa; Arthropoda; Insecta; Hymenoptera; Apidae.